UUUUCACUUUUCAAUGAAUACCAUUUGAAUCUGAGAGCAUAGAAAGCAACUCAAAAUCCGCCCUGAGAAGUAUUAUUUUGCAGGGAUGCGUGAGCAGGAGUAAUCAGAAAGUAUGUUAAAAAUGAAAAUCCUAUAGGUUAUGGUCUUCUGCUUGAUAGGCGACUUCCUCCUUGAAAUGAAUAUAUUUUCUUUUUGAUUCAAGAAAGGUUUUUUCUAAGUUGCAAAUUCAAGAAUGUAUCUUUGUAAAUUGAUUUCCCAGUGUGAAGUUCCUUCGACUAAAAUUGAUGGUUGAAUUUUCAAUAGGGUGAUUUUCGGUGAACUUCCAUCGUUUUCCCGGAUGGAUCUGGAAAAGCGAUUGAAUACGUUUAUUUUUCCGGAAGCUAUGGACGCUGGCUGUUUCGGAGAUGACGUGGAAAAGUUCGUCCGUUUCGAAAUUAAACGCCACCCAGGCAAGCAUCAAUUUUGUUCUGAUACGACGUUUGGUGACAUUACGUUGCAGAAAACGAUAGGCCUACGCUUCAAUCUGCCAGUUUUUGUUAAAACGCGUAACAGGUCUGAAUUCCCGCCGAGAGCUGAGGCGGACGCUAUGUUCUACAACGAGAUAUUUUUCUACACGAAGAUCGUUCCUGUUCUCCGAAGAUACGACGAAUUCAACAUCCUAUCCACAAGCUUUCCUGAGUUUGUGUGCGGGAAAAAGACCAGCGGUCAAAAUCCUGAAGAUGACGUCAUCGUCUUGAAAGAUCUCCGACAGAGAGGUUUUCGGCCAUGCGCGCAACGGCAUUUCGAUGAAAAUCAUCUUUCGUUAGCGUUAGAUCGAUUGGGAAAAUUCCAUGGGCUAUCUUUGGUGUGGCAGAUGGACGAUGCGACUUUAUUUAAAGAAGUAACAGCUCGGAUAAAAUUUUCAGCGACGCGAAAUUGUGGGCCGCUUUGGGAGGAAUUCAAUCCAAGGAGUACGUUUUAUUUCAAUAACGAUGCGUGA
RNAcentral lists this long non-coding RNA (979 nucleotides) under Bemisia tabaci. RNAcentral describes it as "lncRNA ENSSSA3NGG009807". Lineage: Eukaryota; Metazoa; Arthropoda; Insecta; Hemiptera; Aleyrodidae. The record is from RNAcentral.